Long non-coding RNA from Helianthus annuus (common sunflower), 195 nucleotides. RefSeq lists it as uncharacterized. The record is from RefSeq and is a predicted model, not a curated record. The transcript has 3 exons. Lineage: Eukaryota; Viridiplantae; Streptophyta; Magnoliopsida; Asterales; Asteraceae.
GCCGGUUAAAGAAGCGUUUCCUGUUUACAACGAAUCGAAUAUGAUUUGUCACCAGCUUCCUAAUAGAAGUGAUGAGUUGCUGAUUAACUCACUGAAUGCUACUGUUGACACUAAUCAACAAGCUCAAUCGUUCGUUGAAGCGUCGUUGAAUCAACGUCUCUCCAGUCUGUGCAACCUCCAUUUGGGAGGAUCCCC